This 254-nucleotide ribosomal RNA is filed under the name uncultured bacterium. Its description in RNAcentral is "partial 16S ribosomal RNA". It matches the Rfam family "Bacterial small subunit ribosomal RNA", at positions 524 to 776 of the family's 1533-position model. The record is from RNAcentral.
UACGGGGGGGGCAAGCGUUGUUCGGAAUUACUGGGCGUAAAGGGCUCGUAGGCGGCCAACUAAGUCGGAUGUGAAAUCCCCAGGCUUAACCUGGGAACUGCAUCCGAUACUGGAUGGCUUGAAUCCGGGAGAGGGAUGCAGAAUUCCAGGUGUAGCGGUGUAAUGCGUAGAUAUCUGGAGGAAUACCGGUGGCGAAGGCGGCAUCCUGGACCGGCAUUGACGCUGAGUGAGCGAAAGCCAGGGGAGCAAACGGG